This 1516-nucleotide long non-coding RNA is filed under the name Parus major (Great Tit). RNAcentral describes it as "lncRNA (ENSPMJG00000014433.1)". Lineage: Eukaryota; Metazoa; Chordata; Aves; Passeriformes; Paridae. The record is from RNAcentral.
GGAAAGACAAUCUGAUCGCAGUCCAUGCCUCUCACUGAGCAAGACAAGGUGACAGAGCAAGCAUUGAAAGGAAUCUGUGCAACACUUGGGAAUUCAAAAUUUCAUCAUUUUGUCAGGUUUUAAAUUGUGACAUCACCUUAUGUUUCUCAACCGGAAACACGCUCUCUAGAGAAUAUCAAAAAGAUCUGAGAAGCAGCAGCAUGGAGAGUGCAUCCAGCCCUGUGGCACUCCAGAGCUGUGGCCCUUAGGAAUUCUGCUGACAUGUACCUUGUAGUUGUACUUGUAAAACGAGGAACCCUCCCAGAUGCCUCUCCUCUGCAGAAGUGAAUUAACAUCCUGUCAUAGACCCUUUUCAGUUAUCUCAGCCCUGGGCUUGAGUGCAGAGUUCUUGUCAAUAAAGCCUGAUAAACAAAUGCAAUACUUGGAGUGUUUAAAAACACGGCAUCGGUUUUGUGGCUGUGAAUUUCAUUAACUCUCUAAGCAGAAUUGGACUUUUGCUGGUAAUUCAUUCAAAGCAAGUAGCCAGUGUGUAAAUCCUUAGUUCUGUGGUAAAGCCUGUGCAUGCAAAAUUAAACUGGAUGAAAUCUAGAAGCCUGUGUGGGUAUUUUGGGUAAAUUUACAGCUUUUGUACUCAGCCUUUCUUCUGAUGGAAUUAAUAAAUGUUUGGGAUUGUUGCAGCUGCAGUCAACUCCUGUAAUAUAUUGAUUAGCAUCAUAUUGACAAAAAAUUGGUCUCUGUUAACCAGGAACAGCACAGUGUUACACAGGUUACAAAAGUUAUAUAAAGUGUGCCGACAUGUUUGGAGAAGUGACACAUCACACACAGUCAAUAAUGAUGGAAAUUGGAGCAGAAUUCUCCAGCUCAGCCUUGAUUAUCUCGCAGAAAGUGAUCCUAGGCUUUUAGCGUGCACCAGAUGUGAUGGAUUUUAUCAUCAGCUGGUAUCUUUGAUUCAGCUGCAUUUAUUUCACCAGGACUCUACAGAUGUCUGCAAACCAGUACCUGGCCUUAGAUGUUAAACAAACAACAAAAUCAAGAUCAAAUAUGCUGCUGAGGAAGCAGAUUGAGCAACAUACAAGUAUUCUUCAUAAAAAUCAUUCAGCUGGAGUUAAUGAAUGUGAGCAUGAGGGGAUCAAUCAGCCCUGUGUAGGAAAUGAUACAGAAACUCAUCAUGCCAAGAGCUCACCACACCUUCAGCUCAGAUGCCUGAACAAAGUCAAGCCAUAAUUUAGCCCCCAAAUCUUACCAGGUGCUGCUAGAGGUAAAUCUGUGCUUGAGUGGAGUGUGGUUUACAGCCAAAAUUAUGGGUUUGGUUUGAGGUGGGUUGCAGGGAGGAUCCAAAAAAGGACACCCCUCAAACCUUCAGCUCUUCUGGAGAAACCUUGUCAGUACAGCACCAGGAUCUGUUGAGAUGGUAACCUGAAGCUUUUUAGGGCUGGUUGGUUUUCUCUUGUUAGAAAUAUCUUCAAACAUUUCUUAAAUGGCAGAAAAGUUGAAUGCUAUUUUCCAUGGAGUGGAG